UACGUAGGGGCUAGCGUUAUCCGGAAUUACUGGGCGUAAAGGGUGCGUAGGUGGUUUCUUAAGUCAGAGGUGAAAGGCUACGGCUCAACCGUAGUAAGCCUUUGAAACUGGGAAACUUGAGUGCAGGAGAGGAGAGUGGAAUUCCUAGUGUAGCGGUGAAAUGCGUAGAUAUUAGGAGGAACACCAGUGGCGAAGGCGACUCUUUGGUCUAUUACUGACGCUGAGGUACGAAAGCGUGGGUAGCAAACAGGAUUAGAUACCCUGGUAGUCCCUGAGCGGGCU
Molecule: ribosomal RNA, 282 nt
Filed under: uncultured prokaryote
Description: partial 16S ribosomal RNA
Rfam family: Bacterial small subunit ribosomal RNA
Source: RNAcentral